Molecule: unclassified non-coding RNA, 3233 nt
Filed under: Pectinophora gossypiella (pink bollworm)
Lineage: Eukaryota; Metazoa; Arthropoda; Insecta; Lepidoptera; Gelechiidae
Description: zinc finger protein 54-like
Source: RNAcentral
UGGAAUUUUGACGGCUAGAUCGAUACCUUUAAUUUUUGCUGUUAUUUACAUAUUCUGUUACAGUAUAUGUACUAUUUAUCAAUAAAAAUAGCUUACCAUAAUGAUGGAACCUAUUCCUAGCAUCGAAGUUAUUACAAAACCUAUGAAAGACCCGUAUAUGCUCAGGGCAUGUCGAACUUGCUUAGCGACGGAAGCAAAACUGUUUGAUUUACACGAAAAUGGAUUUGCUGACUCUCUUGGCAGUAUUGCUGGGACCCCGGUGUCACUCACAGAUGGUCUACCGCAGUACAUCUGCUACUACUGCAUAGCGCUGCUCAAGAAGUCUUCGGAGUUCCGUCUGCAAUGCAGGAAGGCGCACUUCUUUCUCCAGGACACCCUUCUGCAGAAACUGGAGGCCACAACAGAAUGCAUAAGCUGUCUCGACCGCACACACUUCGCUAAGCCUUUAACCGUAGCAAAAGUGUUUGUAGAUUCAAAAUAUUGGGAUAGUAAUGGGUUUCCAAUAGACUUUAAAUAUGAUGAACCGACAGCGGUCCCAGAGAUGUCCGAUAUUAAAGUAGAAGCGUUGUUACUGGAUGAAACUGACAAUGAUGAUCAGAUGGACAACUGUGAUGAUCAUUUUGACUACGAUCAUCUAGACAAUGAUGAUAUGAUGAAAACUGAUGACAAAUCUGAAAAGGAACUCGAUGACGUCAACGAUUCAAACGAAGGCAUCAUGGACAUCAUACAGAUAUGCGAAAAGAAGAAAGACAAAAAGAAAAAGAGUUCGACUAAAAAGAAGGAACGGACGAAAAGAGAACGAAAAGUGGUGAAGGUGGCAAAGGAAAGGAAGAUAGCGCAGAAGAAAGAGCCAGUUAGCAAAAGAAAGAAGGAAAACAAUCUAUCGGCCGACGGGAUUACAAUAACAACUCACAAUAAAUACAAUCAGAAGUUAGAAGAAGAUUUUGUUAUGUUUUCAAAGAUGUACAAUGUUGAAGUUGUGUUUCUAACCAAGGAGCAGCAACAGAAGAAUGUUGAAGACAGAAAGAACAGCAAGCAGUACAAAAAUAGUUUGUUCUCUUGUGACUUGUGCUUCAAAGGGUUUAUGUCAGAGCAGGCUUACAAAAGGCACAUGAAAGGACACGACCCGAGCCGUGGUAACCUGGAGUGCGAUGUGUGCCACUACCGGUUCAACAACAAGCAGACCAUGUACGGCCAUAUGCAGCAUCACAAGAGGGAGUACAUCUGCAAGAUAUGCAACCAGCUGAACAAGUCCACAUCGAGAGCAAAAUUACAUUUCAAGUGGCACGAGGGCCAGAAAUUUGAAUGCACUUAUUGUAAUAAAAAAUUCAAUUUCAAAAGCACCCACGUGAACCACGUGAGGGAGAACCACGCGGUGGUCACGUGUAACGUCUGCGGGGGGACACUGGAGGGGACCAACGCACUCGCCAAACACAAAGCUGAGAUGCAUUCCAAGAUAACACAGUGUCCAACUUGUGAGAUUGAGUUCUGUAGCGUGGAAGCUUUGAACUCUCACCGAAGCACAGAGGACGGUUGUAACACUGAAAUGAGGCCGUGUCUUGCGUGCGGCCUCAAUUUCCUGACUCCCGAUGAGCUGGACCGCCACUUGCUGGAGGCCAAACACAAGGAGCUUAUAUUCAAAUGUCAGUCGUUCCAGUGCAGCGCGACGUUCACGUCGGAGCGCAAGCUGGGUGCGCACCGCUCCGUGAUCCACGGCGAGCGCCAGCCGCGCGGCGAGUACCCGCGCGUGCGCCGCCCGCCCGCGCCCCCCGCCGCCGGCGCACAUCUCAUGUGCGAGUUCUGUGCCAAGAGCUACCCCACAGCCGUUCAGCUGAAGUAUCAUCAGCGCGUGCAUACAGACGAGAAACCAUAUCGAUGCCCGCUCUGCGUGAAGAGUUUCCGCACAUUAGCUGGACUGAAGGUUCACGUGAACACCCACACAGGCGAGAGGCCGUUCAAGUGUCGCCUGUGUCCGGAGACAUUCAAGUCCUACUCGCAAAAAUACAAACAUCGACUCAUGGUACACACAAAGGAGCGACCACACAAAUGCCACAUGUGCGACAAAUCCUACUUCGUCUCCUGCGAUCUCAAGAUGCAUAUACAGUUCGCGCACAUGCACGUCCCGCGCCCGCACAGGAACAGAAACAGAAACAAAAACAUAUGCAAAUAACACCAAAAUAACAUUAAUAUAUGGUCAUUAUAACACACGAAGAUGGACGAAAUUGGCUAUCGGACAGAUAACCGUCACUAAUUAUCACGAUAUUGGUUUUUAGUGAUGACGAAACGGUGAUGGUUCGUACGAUGUAGAAGGUAAACCAUCACUUAAUAUCACCGUAUUGGUCAUUAGUGUUGACGAAACGGUGAAAGACAGGAAACCGUCACUUAAUAUCACGAUAUUGGUCAUUAGUGAUGACGAAAUGGUGAUAGACAAUAAACUACCACUUAAAAUAUCACGAUAUUGGUCAUUAGUAAUGACGAAACGAUGAUGGACAAUUAACCAUAACUUAAAUUAUCACUAUAUUCCUCAUUAGUGAUGACGAAAAGGUACUAGACAGUAAAUCAUCACUUAAUAUCAAGAUGUUGGUCAUUAGUGAUGACGAAGUGGUGAUAGACAAUAAACCAUUACUUAAAAUAUCACGAUAUUUGUCAUUAGUGAUAACGAAAAGGUACUAGACGGUAAACAAUAACUUAAUAUCACGUUAUUGGCCAAUAGUGAUGGCGAAACGGUGAUGAUUAUUAUGAUUGACCUAGAAAAUAUAAUUGCUUAUCAUCAGCCGGAAAUUAUCCACUGCUGGACAUAUGCCUCCCAUAAGGCUUUCUUUUCUAUAAAGGACUUUCCAGGCUACAUUCAUCAAAAACAAUAUAGAUGGCGCUGUACAGAUUUCCAUUCGUUUUUCUAAGUUCAUAGAUAAUAGACAUAUGCAUCUUUUAUCUUUGUUUUUGGGUAUAAAUGAUGACCCUUGUUAUUACACCCAGGCUCAACACAUGUUCCACCAAAAUAAAGAAGCAAUAUCAAGCAAUAAUUUUGAUAUAUACCUCGGCCAUUACAUUAUAUUUGUGAAAAAUUAUGUAACCGAACAAUGAGAAAAAAGUAAUUAUCACGUAAAAUCUGUACAACGCAACGCUAUAUAGAUAGCGUUGUUUUUAGGGAACGUAGCCUAGAAGCCCCCACAUUAUUGUUUGUAAAUAUAAAUAAGUUACGGACUUUGUAAAUAAAUAUUAAAUACCAUGUC